This 460-nucleotide ribosomal RNA is filed under the name uncultured bacterium. Its description in RNAcentral is "partial 16S ribosomal RNA". It matches the Rfam family "Bacterial small subunit ribosomal RNA", at positions 338 to 795 of the family's 1533-position model. The record is from RNAcentral.
CCUACGGGAGGCAGCAGUGAGGAAUAUUGGUCAAUGGACGGAAGUCUGAACCAGCCAUGCCGCGUGCAGGAAGACGGCUCUAUGAGUUGUAAACUGCUUUUGUACAAGGGUAAACCUGAAUACGUGUAUUCAGCUGAAAGUACUGUACGAAUAAGGAUCGGCUAACUCCGUGCCAGCAGCCGCGGUAAUACGGAGGAUCCAAGCGUUAUCCGGAUUUAUUGGGUUUAAAGGGUGCGUAGGCGGAUUGAUAAGUUAGAGGUGAAAUGUCCGAGCGUAACUCGGGAACUGCCUCUAAUACUGUUGAUCUAGAGAGUAGAUGCGGUAGGCGGAAUGUAUGGUGUAGCGGGGAAAUGCUUAGAGAUCAUACAGAACAACGAUUGCGAAGGCAGCUUACCAAUCUAUAUCUGACGUUGAGGCACGAAAGCGUGGGGAGCAAACAGGAUUAGAUACCCCAGUAGUC